This 253-nucleotide ribosomal RNA is filed under the name uncultured bacterium. RNAcentral describes it as "partial 16S ribosomal RNA". It matches the Rfam family "Bacterial small subunit ribosomal RNA", at positions 524 to 776 of the family's 1533-position model. The record is from RNAcentral.
UACGUAGGAUGCAAGCGUUGUCCGGAUUUAUUGGGUUUAAAGGGUGCUUAGGCGACGUAUUAAGUUAGUGGUGAAAACGUUCGGCUUAACCGGAUACCCGCCAUUGAUACUGAUAGACUUGAGUGCGACAGAGGGUGUUGGAAUGUGUGGUGUAGCGGUGAAAUGCUUAGAUAUCACGCAGAACACCAAUUGCGAAGGCAGAUGCCUAUGUCGUAACUGACGCUGAGGCACGAAAGCGUGGGGAGCAAACAGG